UACAGAGGUCUCAAGCGUUGUUCGGAUUCAUUGGGCGUAAAGGGCGCGUAGGCGGCGGGGUAAGUCGGAUGUGAAAGCUCGGAGCUCAACUCCGAAAUGGCAUUGGAAACUACCUUGCUCGAGGGUUGGAGGGGGGACUGGAAUGCUUGGUGUAGCAGUGAAAUGCGUAGAGAUCAGCAGGAACACCCGUGGCGAAGGCGGCCCCCUGGGCCGUACCUGACGCUGAGGCGCGAAGGCUAGGGGAGCGAACGGG
Molecule: ribosomal RNA, 253 nt
Filed under: uncultured bacterium
Lineage: Bacteria
Description: partial 16S ribosomal RNA
Rfam family: Bacterial small subunit ribosomal RNA
Source: RNAcentral